Helianthus annuus (common sunflower) is the source of this 1274-nucleotide long non-coding RNA. RefSeq lists it as uncharacterized. The transcript has 3 exons. The record is from RefSeq and is a predicted model, not a curated record. Lineage: Eukaryota; Viridiplantae; Streptophyta; Magnoliopsida; Asterales; Asteraceae.
AGGCUUGAACAGAUGUUUGCUUUGUUCUUGAACAUAUGUUUUGAUUACACCACAAGAAAUGUGAGCAACAUGGGCGACAGUAUUAGCGACGACUUCUAAAAAGUGGCCGCUAAAGGUGUUAUCCGCGUCACGUCUGGAAUAAAUGAAGCAGGGGCAGCCGUUGAUAAAAGUUGAGAUCUGAUAGCUAGGGUUUUAAACGCAAAAUCCAUUUUUACAAGCGGGAGAAUUUCCCCCCUUGCCUGCCUGUACUUUUCUCCCCCAAAUCGAUUUCUCUCUCUUUCCAUCCCAAAAUUCCCUUUGUUGCUCUCUUCCCGGCCCUAAAUCUCCCCCUCGAAGGUUCCGGCACUAAGGUUUCCGGCGUGAAGGUGGUUUCCAGCAUGAAAGUGGGUUCCUGCGUGAAGAUUUUUUCCGGCAUGAUGCCUUUUUCAGACGUGAAGCUUUUUUCUGGUGUGAAACUGGUUUGCGACUUCUUUGCAACAGUUUACACAUAAGGAAAGUUUGCAAAACAUUAGAGGAGGAUGCUUUAAGCCAAUUUUGCAUCACUAUGAUGGUCCCAAGUUUUGGCUUGAGCUGUCUAUCCCUAAGAUAGCAAGGAAAGUUUUGGAUGCGGCUACGCAUUGUGUGUGAUAACCGAUGAAAUCUGGUGUUAACGACGACAUUUGCUCAGGUUCCGGCCAGAUUAAGGUUCCGGUUGAUAUUUGGUCAAGCUCUUUUGUCUUGCAGGUCUGAUCUUAGAGGUGACGUUGGCCGCCGAUGAAAGUGGAGGUGGUGUUCGACAGUUGCAACGGUACAAGUCAGGGGAUCUCACUCACUCUCUCUCUCUCUCAUUUUGGGGGGGGGGGGGGGGGGGUAUUUAAGAAUGUAAUCUGUUUUGUAUUUUUUGGCUUGGUAUACCUGUCGAAUCUAAUCCAGUGAGUGAUGCUAUUUAUUUUUAAAACAUUUUCAUCAGUUUCUCUAACUAGCGUAAUUCAAUAGACAUGUUGCUGAUGUGUAAAUUUUAUAUCGUUUUAGAAAAUAGACGAGAGAGCAACUACGGAAGUUUUCCUAAAGGUUCUGGAUAAUUACAUCAAAUGGUGCAAAUAUCUACGUAUACGUCUUGUUUAGAAUAGGUAUUUACUUGCACUGGUAUUUUCCUAUUAUAUUUAUCAUUCCUCAUUCUUUGCUAAUUUUAAUGAGAGAUUGUUAAGUGUAUCAAAGUCGGUUCCAGUCAUUUUUGCCAUUUGGUAAAUAUUUGUAGUUGGAUGUGUUUGUAUUGAUAAAGGCCUAUUGAUGUA